This 228-nucleotide long non-coding RNA is filed under the name Elaeis guineensis (African oil palm). RNAcentral describes it as "long non-coding RNA (EGUI_LNC015839)". The record is from RNAcentral. Lineage: Eukaryota; Viridiplantae; Streptophyta; Magnoliopsida; Arecales; Arecaceae.
GGAGAGACAUGAAAAUGCAGAAGUCAUUGCAGGCCAUUCUUAGCCGGUAUCCCAAAUUAAGUGCCAUGUAAAAAGGAUAUCUCAUGAGCAUCAAUCUGAGGUAAUAACUGACAAUGCGAACCAAAAUCAGACCAUGAAUAACAACUAAAAUCACCAACCAAAGUCUUAUGGGCUAGACGAUCCACUUAGUUUGCCUCAUGGUGCACAUGAAAAAAAAAAAUAUGAAAG